RNAcentral lists this ribosomal RNA (492 nucleotides) under uncultured bacterium. RNAcentral describes it as "partial 16S ribosomal RNA". It matches the Rfam family "Bacterial small subunit ribosomal RNA", at positions 29 to 507 of the family's 1533-position model. The record is from RNAcentral.
AGUGAACGCUGGCGGUAGGCCUAACACAUGCAAGUCGAACGGCAGCACAGUAAGAGCUUGCUCUUACGGGUGGCGAGUGGCGGACGGGUGAGGAAUACAUCGGAAUCUACUUUUUCGUGGGGGAUAACGUAGGGAAACUUACGCUAAUACCGCAUACGACCUACGGGUGAAAGCAGGGGAUCUUCGGACCUUGCGCGAUUGAAUGAGCCGAUGUCGGAUUAGCUAGUUGGCGGGGUAAAGGCCCACCAAGGCGACGAUCCGUAGCUGGUCUGAGAGGAUGAUCAGCCAAACUGGAACUGAGACACGGUCCAGACUCCUACGGGAGGCAGCAGUGGGGAAUAUUGGACAAUGGGCGAAAGCCUGAUCCAGCCAUACCGCGUGGGUGAAGAAGGCCUUCGGGUUGUAAAGCCCUUUUGUUGGGAAAGAAAAGCAGCAGGUUAAUACCCCGCUGUUCUGACGGUACCCAAAGAAUAAGCACCGGCUAACUUCGUG